CCCCGGCGCCACAAGUGGUUAUCACGAUUAUUGGGCCUAAGGCGUUCGUAGCCGGUCUGGUAAAUCUCUUGUGAAAUUGUUCGGCUUAACCGGACAGCGUGCAGGAGACACUGCCAGACUCGAGACCGGGAGGGGUUAGAAGUAUUCCAUGGGGACUGGUAAAAUGGGAUAAUCCAUGGAAGACUACCGAUGGCGAAGGCAUCUAACCAGAACGGAUCUGACGGUGAGGAACGAAAGCCAGGGGAGCGAACCGG
This 254-nucleotide ribosomal RNA is filed under the name uncultured bacterium. RNAcentral's name for it is "partial 16S ribosomal RNA". It matches the Rfam family "Archaeal small subunit ribosomal RNA", at positions 474 to 727 of the family's 1478-position model. The record is from RNAcentral.